AAUUGGGUUUAGUAAACAUCAUUUUGCAAACCUACAAUAAAAAUUGGUUUUUAGAAUCAUUGUGAGGAAUACAGAAACAAUGCUCCUUCUAGAACUUAUUCUGAGCCCUGGGUUCAUUUGCAGUUCUAUCAUUGACCCCAUAUGAAACAGAGAACUUAUUUGCUGUUUAGUACUUUCUUGAAAAACAAAAGAGAAAGUAGUUCCAUUGCUUUGAACUACCUGAGAAAAUUGCCAUAAUUUGCCACUUCACAAUGCAAGGCUGGAUUUCAUAAGUUAGAUUCUGACCUCAAUGAUGAGUUUAAGUGCCAAGACUUAUUUUGACACAUUAUUUUAUGUAUUUCAGCAUCUUAUCAUCUACUAGGACAUUACCAAAACAAAAUCUUUUUUGAGGUAGGGAGGCUUUUUCCAUUUUCAUAUUUCUUACAUUCUAGUUCUUCAUGUUUCCUAAAGGUAAAUAAUGCAUGAGAAAACCUGCAGUACCUUGACUAGCAUUUUUCUUUAAAUAUUAAAUAUUGCUUUGGAAAAUGUUUGAACUACGAAUAGUUGUGCACAAUAAUUUUCUGGUUGGAAAUAAAGCCUGAUAUUUAUCCAUUUUUCCUUUGAUGUCCUAGCAUACUAAUGCUAUAUAGAGUGGUUGACUACUGAAUUCCUCCCAAAAGUUAUGAAACUUACAAUUUCAUGAAAAAACAAGGAUACAGAUACUCUUUGAAAGAGUGUUUUACAUGUUUAGUAGAAGGUUGUUAUUUUUUUGGCAGUGGCUUUGGUUUCUUACUGAUGUAGUUUUCACAACUAAGGAUAGGCUUGAUUUUUUUUUUCAAUAAAUGUCAAUGACAACCUCAUAUUAAGUCCACUAAUACUUAAAGGAAGUGAUUCCAUGGAUAAUACCAAAGAGCACUUCAUUUAAAUUGCUAUAAACCUUCCAAAGGACAGUUUAAAUUGCUCCUACCUAAGGUAAGUAUUUUAUUUGAAAGAGUCUACAGCUUUAUCCAGAUUUUCUACAAAGAUUGAGAAAAAUCCUCAAUUUAUACAGUUGAGAACUUGAUAAUGAGGAAAAAAAUUACAGUUGUUUACAAGUAAGCUAAAAUAGGUGCAAUCACAGAUGUCAUUGAGGUAAGACAUGAGCUGUGUUCUAAAAUUGUUCCAAUUCAUCCAGAAUACUCAGUACAACCUGUUUCCUCCUUUAAGGUAAGGUAUUCCUUAAAUGUCUCACCAUUGGGGACUUUUUGUUUUUUUAAAGAUUUUAUUUAUUUAUUCAUGAAGAGACACACACACAGAGAGAGGCAGAGGGAGAAGCAGAUUCCAUGCAGGAAGCCUGAUGUGGGACUCCAUCCCGGGUCUCCAGGAUCACGCCUUAGGCUAAAGGCAGGCACUAAACCGCUGAGCCAUGCGGGCUGCCCCAUUGGGGCAUUUUUUCAUAGAUAUCUCAUAAACAGCAUAGGAUGAGUGGUAACAGACUGCAUGCUGGAGCCAAACUACCAAACUUAUCAACCAUCUGAUCUGGGAAAAGUUGUUCAAUCGUUCUGUGCCUUAGUCUCCUCAUCUUUAAAUAAGGAUAAGAGUAGUGCCCACUAAGCAAUAAAUGGAUUCAUAUACACCAAGAAUCAAACAGUGUCCGAAACAUUAAUCGGACAUAACAUUAAUAUUAUGUUGAUAAAAUACUUUAUCAGUCUUAUAAUUUAUUGUUUUGGGGUGCACCAAAUAUAGAUUUUAAUAGGUCAAGGCAGGGAGAAAAGUCAUCAUUCAAUACUUUCAUUCCUUUAGCAAAUAUUUAUUGAUGACGCACAUUUGAGUUUUGAGAUAGUUAGGAGGAUCAACUUGAAACUAUUGAUGUCAUUAAAGAUUUCAGAGGCAUAGUGAAAGGAACCUAUCACUGUUGCCCAUGUCCCAGGCCAAUCAUUUAGGAUCUGUGUGUAUCUGAUAGACAGAAUUAAAUUUCUUUUGAGAGGAACUUUUUUUUUUUUUUUUUUUUGUGGGGAAGUGGCCACAUCUUUAAAGACAUUUUAUAACCAAUCAAAUCAUAGUCAGGGCUCCACUUUAAUAAUUGAGCCAAUUAGAAAAUAUCAGGUUCUAUGAAGGUAUAAUCUGAAAUAAUAGUUUAAUCACUUUGUAUAAAUAAUGCACUUAUUAGGAAAUUUGCCAGAUAUCCUAUCUUAUGUGCUUUUGGUAAGUAGUUUCGUUGACAGCCCAACAAGAGCUUAUUCUGUGUUGGCCUCUGUACUAAGUUAGGCCUAGUUAUUCAGAGACGAGCAAGACUAGUUCCUCCUGGCAAGAUGCUUACAGUCUCACAGGCGGAGACAGAUGAAUGCAAAACUAAUGUUAAUACAAAAUUCACUGCUAUACUUUUAUAAGGUGGUGUUCUGGACUGUACAAAAGGCAGUGAAAAUGUCAUUAGCUUAAACAAGGGGUUAGGAAAAAACAAAACAAAACAAAAAAACAAAAAAACAAGGGGUUAGGUCAUAAAUAUUCGAAGAAAAGUUUACCAUGUGCUGAGCAGAUGAGCAUUCUACUGGAAUAUUCAAAAUCCUUCUUAGUCAUCCUACAAAGUUUAGGGCCCGUUUAGAUAUACACAGUCACAUCUCUUAAUUUGCCACAACCGUAUAUGUGUGUAACUAUGUAAAUGUGUCGUGCUCCUCCGACUGGCGAGACCAGGACACCUGCAGACUCUAUGUCACCAGUGUGAGCAGAGCUGUAGUGGGGAGGGGAAGGAGGGAUGCAGAGGGGGAGCACAGAGAAUCUUCAGGGCAGUGAAACUAUUCUGUGUGAUACAGGAGGGGAGGCAGCACUUUACCUUUACCCUGUUUUUCUUUUUCUUUUUUUUUUUUUUUCUUCUGGGCCUGAGAGUUAAGCUAACAUAAAACAGAUUAACAGGAGAAAAGCACAGGAACUUGUGCAAAUGGAGUGGCCCGGGAGUCCUCUUAAGGAAUGAAGACCCAAAGAAGUGGCAAAAACCUACGUGCCUUUAUUAUUGAGCUACACAAAGAGAGGCGAUUAUGGAAUAAUAACUAUACAGGAAGCUAAGGGAGGACAGAGAGGCCAUCUUUCACAUGGGAAUUUGUAUCGCCUGUUUUCAAGAAGAAAAGGAAGAUUAGAAUGCCAUUCUGACAUCCGCUGUUAUUCAGAAAGUCACAUAAGGACAAGUUCCCAGAAGGGGAAUUCAAAGAGUCAAGAAUUUGAUGUACUGUUACUACCUUUGAAGAUGGAGGGAAACUGCCCUGGAUGGACUUUAGAGUGUCCUUGAGGAGCUGAGAAUGACCUCUGGCCAAUAAAAAUACAAGCAAACAGGAACCUCACACCUGCAACACCAAGGAACUGAAUUUUGCUAACAACCUGAAUGGGUUAAGAGAGUGAUUCUGUCCCAGAGCCUCCGGAAAACAGCCCAGUCCAGUCCAGCAGACCCCUUGCCUUCAGCCUACAAAACUCUAAGCAGGAAGCCUACCUGAGCCUAUCUGGAUUUCUGAC
This is a long non-coding RNA of Canis lupus familiaris (dog), 3459 nucleotides long. RefSeq lists it as uncharacterized. The record is from RefSeq and is a predicted model, not a curated record. The transcript is spliced from 4 exons. NCBI's taxonomy places the organism in Eukaryota, Metazoa, Chordata, Mammalia, Carnivora, Canidae.